This 253-nucleotide ribosomal RNA is filed under the name uncultured bacterium. RNAcentral's name for it is "partial 16S ribosomal RNA". It matches the Rfam family "Bacterial small subunit ribosomal RNA", at positions 524 to 776 of the family's 1533-position model. The record is from RNAcentral.
UACGUAGGGCGCAAGCGUUAUCCGGAAUUAUUGGGCGUAAAGAGCUCGUAGGCGGUUUGUCGCGUCUGCCGUGAAAGUCCGGGGCUCAACUCCGGAUCUGCGGUGGGUACGGGCAGACUAGAGUGAUGUAGGGGAGACUGGAAUUCCUGGUGUAGCGGUGAAAUGCGCAGAUAUCGGGAGGAACACCGGUGGCGAAGGCGGUUCUCUGGGCCUUACCUGACACUGAGGAGCGAAAGCGUGGGGAGCGAACAGG